This 485-nucleotide ribosomal RNA is filed under the name uncultured bacterium. RNAcentral's name for it is "bacterial SSU rRNA". It matches the Rfam family "Bacterial small subunit ribosomal RNA", at positions 30 to 502 of the family's 1533-position model. The record is from RNAcentral.
AUUGAACGCUGGCGGUAGGCUUAACACAUGCAAGUCGAACGGUAGCAGCUCUAGCUUGCUAGAGGCUGACGAGUGGCGGACGGGUGAGUAACGCGUAGGAAUCUACCUAAUAGUGGGGGACAACCUGGUGAAAACCAGGCUAAUACCGCAUAACGCCCUACGGGGGAAAGCGGGGAGUCUUCGGACCUCGCGCUAUUAGAUGAGCCUGCGUUAGAUUAGCUAGUUGGUGGGGUAAAGGACUCACCAGGGCGACGAUCUAUAGCUGGUCUGAGAGGAUGAUCAGCCACACUGGGACUGAGACACGGCCCAGACUCCUACGGGAGGCAGCAGUGGGGAAUAUUGCGCAAUGGGCGAAAGCCUGACGCAGCCAUACCGCGUGUGUGAAGAAGGGUUUUAGGCUCGUAAAGCACUUUAAGUAGGGAGGAAGGCCUAAAGUUAAUACGCUUUAGGAUUGACGUUACCUACAGAAUAAGCACCGGCUAACU